This 1823-nucleotide long non-coding RNA is filed under the name Canis lupus familiaris (dog). Its description in RNAcentral is "lncRNA (ENSCAFG00845017339.1)". Lineage: Eukaryota; Metazoa; Chordata; Mammalia; Carnivora; Canidae. The record is from RNAcentral.
AGAGAGGCGCGGGGUGAAAGGGCAGGUUGUGAGGCGCCCCGGGGGCGGCUGGAAAGGCGGCGACCGGCAGGUAUCUCCGCCCAGCGGUGGGAAACCGAAGCCAGAGAGGGUGAGAUGACUUGUCCACGCCCACCAGGAGGAACCGCUGACGAAAGCCGGUUCCCCGCCGAGUCACGGAUCGACUCCGCGUGUUUCCUGCUGUCGGAUGGUCGGCCCGCUCCUCCCAUUUUCUGAUUCAGUUAAACUUGAUGAGCAAAGACAUUUGAACAGUGCGACCCACCGGUGAGAGGGGAAAACGCGCCUGCCGUUCUCCAUGCACCUUAAUUUUUUUUAAAAAAAAGAUUUUAUUUAUUUAUUUAUUCGUGAGAGACACGGCAGAGGGAGAAGCAGGCUCCACGCAGGGAGCCCGACGUGGGACUCGACGUGGGACUCGACCCCGGGUCUCCAGGGUCACGCCCUGGGCCGAAGGCAGCCGCCAACCCGCUGAGCCACCCGGGCUGCCCUACACUUUAAUUCUUCGCGAAAAAUUGUUCCUAGCUCCCUUUCUGAGUGAUUUGAUUUCACUAUGACUUGUUCUCACUCGUAGGGCAGAGAGACCAGUUAAUGAAGUUGAAAAAUGACUAUUUCCUUGGCACGUCUCGAAUUCCAUUAGGUACAUAAGUAAACGGAUGCCUACUAUUUGCAGUUGUGGAGGGUUGUUGUGUUUUGUGUUUGUUUUGUUUUGUUUUGUUUUUCCUGUAGAGAAUUGUUGGGAGAAAGGGAUUGAACUUAUUUUUUUUUUUUUUAAAACCAGGACUUAAAGGCGUCAGAGAGCUGCCUAGUGAUUGAUAUUUUGGGUAAUCAAACUUCUCAGUAUCCCCUAAGCAAGGUUCGUUUCUGUAUGCUAGAGAUUUGGUUCGGGGAAUCCGUAGGUAUGGCUGUAAACUGGCGCUGUAUAGAAAUGAUUUCUCGGUUUGUGCACCUGGUCUCCCGAGACCCCCUGAGCGCCCCCCCCCCCCCCCCCCCGCUCCCCUCCCCUCCCCUCCGCGCGCGGUCCCAUUUCUGCUCCAACAAGAGGAAAGAAACCAUUGUGAACGGGGAGAAACUCGCCAAACUGCAAGCACAGGUGCGCAUUGGUGGGAAAGGAACUGCUUGCCGAGAGAAGAAGGUGGUUCACAGAAGAGCUGCAGCAGAUGAUUAAAAACAAAACAAAACAAAACGAAACAAAACAAAACCUUCAGUUCUCCUUAAAGAAGUUAGGGGUAAACAAUAUCUCUGUUAUUGAAGAAGUGAGUAUGUUCACAAACCAAGGAACAGUGAUCCACUUGAACCACCCUGCAGUUCAGGCAUCCCUGUCAGCGAACACUUGGACCAUUAUAGGCCAUGUGGAGACCAAGCAGCUGAUGGAAAUGUGACCCAGUGUUUUAAACCAGCUUGGUGCAGACAGUCUGACUAGUUUAAGAAGACUGGCUGAAGCUCUGCCCAAACAUCUGUGGAUGGAGAAGCAAGCACCACUUGCCACCAGAGAGGAGGAGAAGGAGGAGGAUGAAGUUCCAGAUCUUGUGGAGAAUUUUGAUGAAGCUUCUAAGAAAGAAGCAAACUGCAUGGAGUCAACUUCUGAAGAAGAUAAAACUUGAAGAAGUUACUGGGAGCUGCUCUUUCAUAUUAUGACUGCUUUUUUUUUUUUAUGACUGCUUUUUAAAAUUUUGUUCAUGGAUCUGAUAAAAAUCUAGAUCUCUUAAUAUUUUUAAGCCCAAGCCCCUUGGACACUGCAGCUCUUUCAGUUUUUGCUUAUACACAAUUCAUUCUUUGCAGCUAAUUAAGAUGAAGAAGCCUGGGGAUAA